This is a long non-coding RNA of Lutra lutra (Eurasian river otter), 627 nucleotides long. RefSeq lists it as uncharacterized. The record is from RefSeq and is a predicted model, not a curated record. The transcript is spliced from 2 exons. Lineage: Eukaryota; Metazoa; Chordata; Mammalia; Carnivora; Mustelidae.
AGGAGGGAAUUUGGGGGGAUGAAGGGUAUACUCUAUAUUUUAAUUAAAAUGGUGAACAUAUCACUGUAUGUUUAUCCAAUUUCAGAAGUGGGCAUCUAAAAAAAGGGUGACCUUUGAUGUAUGUAAAUUAUACUAAAAAGCUUGAUGUAAAGAAAAGAGGUCCAUUGAAGCUGUAGAAUGGUCAGUCUUAGAGGUGGGAUGUGGGGGGUGAGGGAGGAGGGGGAGUCAGGGAUGAGGCCAUGGUUCCCGGCUUGACUCACACCCUGGUGAAUCUGUGGGGAGAGGGGGAGGGUGGGGCUCAGAGGAUGCCUCCAUGGCUCCUGGGAUCCUGUCAGCCCUUCAGAAGUGGGAUUCUGGAAGGGCAGCAAGAAACCUCUGCCAUUGCCGGGAGCACCUGGUGGUGGGUGAGUUUUAGGGAGCACUGCCGUACAAGGGUCUGAUUGUCCUAGAGUCACUCACACCAGUUAGUGGUCGUGAAGACACAUUUCAAGCCAUCUGGGAUAGCCACUUUCUUCCAGAGCCUAAAUGCCGACCCCACAAGACUUCAAAACUCUGUCCCUGGCUCCUUAUCUUCCUGCCUGACUAUUAAUAAAAUUGGUGAUGAUGGAAAUAAAAAGUACAGAUUUA